UACUCUCCCAGACUUGUUCUCAGCCUUUCUGGGGACAAAUGAAGGAAGCAACUGGGGAGAAGAAACUAACCAGAGGUUUGGAGAUGUUUCUCAGGUUAUUUUGAGAACAGCCGAUCCGGAAAUCUCAGGUUCCUGUAAUUAGGCAACCCACACAUGACCGUCAGCCUGCCUGGUGAGGUCUCUAGAUAACUAUGAUGAUGCAGUGGGGGAUAUAAAAGCAAGAUGAAAGAAAGCUGGUGCUAGGACUAUGUAAAAAAUGGCAUGAAAAAUCAGAAAUACAACAAACACUUCCUCAAGUAAAACCUGACUCACCUAUUUCCUGAGGCAGGCAUGGGCAGAAAGGAGGAAAAAGUGGCUUUGGUGAGGUUAGGUAUCAUGCCGGAUUUCCUGCACAUUUUCGUGAAGACCAUCUAGAAGCCCAUGCCUGCUUAUAACUGGCGAGAUGGGAUUAUGGCUUGUCAAGCAGCAGAACACACCCAGUGUCUCCUCUCCUACAGAGCGUCUGCUGCUAUGGACAUGUGCUGCCCUGGGAAAAGUCCACUGAAGGUGGAUGAUGCAGAUGAAAAGGCUACUUCACUUUUGGAAGCUGCCUAAUUCACUUCCAGGAGCAAACUUUUUGAUCGGUAGGAUAUGACUCAGUGAUGCUGAUUGAAUUGGCUUCUCACUGUAUUUGUCAAGGCUGGAACAGACGAUGGCACUGCAGAAUCUUAUGUGCACAGAAGAAAUCUACAGACAUUCAAUGAGGGGAGGAUUUCGUUCCAUCAGAUGGGCUUCCUGACAUAAUUGCAAAGGCACAUGAAGACUCAACGAUUUAUCUCCCAUCAACCUCUUCUUAGUUAAUAUCAGCCCAUGUGCUCCAAGAAAACCAGAGGAAAUAUCAAGAAAGAAGAAAACAUGAGACCCUGAAAAUAAAAACCUCAACCCAGAAGGAGACCAUGAAAUAAUUCCAGUAUGUUUGCUUAAUUGUUGGGUAUUCCUGUGACAAAGAAGGCACUACUCAGCCAGCCAGAAUGCACUGACCACCACUGCAGGGUUUCAGUCACAUGAGACAUCUGGGUGAUAGAGGGAAGUGUGGGGAAUGGCUAUCAUUGAUGAGCCUGUAUGUUCUAAGUGAUCUGGGGACUAAGGCUUAUUUUUCUCCAGGCUUGUCUUAUGAAGAAGUUUUAGUCUAUUUGGAAUAGAUAAGGCUUAUACACAUAAAGUAACUGAUACUCAAUUAUAUGUAAUUAUGUUAGUUGGGGAUAAGGCUAAGCUGUGUUAUGUAGUGACUCAAAAAUGCGAUGACUCAAACAAGAUUGGAGCUUGUUUCUCUCCGGGAAUGAAUGAUCCCACACUCGGGGGCAGCUAGGCUGCUGGGAUCCAGGUUCCUUCACCUGUUGCUCUGUUAUGGUUGAAGCUGGCUUAUCCCAACCUCAUUCA
RNAcentral lists this long non-coding RNA (1419 nucleotides) under Homo sapiens (human). Its description in RNAcentral is "HSALNT0088168". The record is from RNAcentral. Lineage: Eukaryota; Metazoa; Chordata; Mammalia; Primates; Hominidae.